UCUCCGUUGGUGAACCAGCGGAGGGAUCAUUACAGAGUUGUAAAACUCCCCAACCCUUGUGAACGUUACCUAUCCCGUUGCUUCGGCGGGCGGCCCGGGCCACGCGCGCGGCGCCCCCCGGCACCCGUGGGCGUCCGCCGGAGGUAAACCAAACCCUUGAAUUGCAUGUCCACUCUGAGUCUUCUGUACUGAAUAAGUCAAAACUUUCAACAACGGAUCUCUUGGUUCUG
This 230-nucleotide unclassified non-coding RNA is filed under the name plant metagenome. RNAcentral describes it as "partial contains small subunit ribosomal RNA, internal transcribed spacer 1, and 5.8S ribosomal RNA". The record is from RNAcentral.